This 683-nucleotide long non-coding RNA is filed under the name Callithrix jacchus (white-tufted-ear marmoset). RNAcentral describes it as "lncRNA (ENSCJAG00000071313.1)". The record is from RNAcentral. Lineage: Eukaryota; Metazoa; Chordata; Mammalia; Primates; Cebidae.
AAGGAACCAAACCUUCUUGCUCUCGCUCAGUUCAUAGCAGUGCUCUCUGUGGGCAGAAAUGCAGCUUUCUCUGGAGUUUGUGGGUUUUCUCUACUGUUUUUUCUCCAUACCUAAAAGAAGUGUAAGACGAAGUCGACGUGGUACAUCUGAUACUCUCCGAAAGUUAAACAAGCCAUUUAGGAAAAUGGGAUUGAGUUAUGACAAGCUGAACAGAAGCCCUGAAAGGUCGUGGGCUCAUUUCUUCAUUUAUGUGGACAUUCCAGGAAGGUCCAUCCUGCCUAUCAUCACAUGUCCAGUGCAUAAGACUGUUCCUGACACAUACUAGACACUCCGUCAAUGUCUCUGGACUGAACAAAUGGUGAGAUUUGAUGCCAAAUGGAGUAGGAAAAAACUGCAACCCCAGCCGUCCCCAAAAGGGCGAACAUCUUAAAUCCAUAAGUCAUGCCAACUUUGAAGGUUUUAUUCAACGUUUGAAUCAUGCUCAAACUUGCAGACUUGACUUAGAGCUUAGAUGCUUCAUCUCCAAAGGAAGCUGGCCGUGGAGUAUAACAGGAAAUCUAGUAAGCAAUCUGGAGUUUUCCUCUAGAAAGUGCUGUGGUCUCAAAGUACAGUCCUGGUAUCUGGACACAACGCCACAAAGGUUGCGGCACAGAGGCGCUAAACCCCAUACUCUGAUGGUGUAG